Molecule: ribosomal RNA, 157 nt
Filed under: uncultured bacterium
Lineage: Bacteria
Description: partial 16S ribosomal RNA
Rfam family: Bacterial small subunit ribosomal RNA
Source: RNAcentral
CAGGUCAGCAUACUGCCGUGAAUACGUUCCCGGGCCUUGUACACACCGCCCGUCACACCAUGAGAGUUGGGGAUACCCGAAGCCUGUGAGCUAACUUUAUAAGGAGCAGCAGUCGAAGGUAGAAUCAAUGAUUGGGGUGAAGUCGUAACAAGGUAAC